Long non-coding RNA from Anguilla anguilla (European eel), 426 nucleotides. RefSeq lists it as uncharacterized. The record is from RefSeq and is a predicted model, not a curated record. NCBI's taxonomy places the organism in Eukaryota, Metazoa, Chordata, Actinopteri, Anguilliformes, Anguillidae. The transcript has 4 exons.
CAGGAAAUCGAGUGACAAUUCAGUUUACAACCACUGAGAAUGCUCCUGACAGGACAACAGCAGGGGAGGGGACAACUCCACCUGCAGACACGGGGAACUCGGACGUCCCGGUGCUGGUUCCGGUCCAAGAUCAGAAUAUUUCUCAAACAUUCAACGGAAAUGUCAUUCGAAUUGGAGCAGUGAUAUUCAUCCCAGGCCUGAUCAUCAUUGUAAUUCUUGUACUGAGGUCCCGUCAGCAGAAGCAGCGCAGAAGUGUUGUGCAGUAUGACCACAGCGCCCCCACUGUCCAGAUCAGAAACGGAGCCUCCCGUGGGUGUGGGAAGUCCCCAUAUCUCAGCAUCAACAGAAAGUGUUAAAGGAGUAACAUGGUGGUUGAACGUGACACUUCCCAGUUGUCUUUAGGCAACAACAAAACAAAUGUGCAUA